This 24-nucleotide non-coding RNA is filed under the name Arabidopsis thaliana (thale cress). Lineage: Eukaryota; Viridiplantae; Streptophyta; Magnoliopsida; Brassicales; Brassicaceae. The record is from RNAcentral.
UGGCGGGAAAAUGUUAAAUUGCGU